CGGGACUCCCCACGGGACCCUAAGACAUCUGAUCACGACCCAGGGUACACGCAAGUGUCCACGAUGCAAAGAACUGCCUUCUAAGGAAGCACAGGCGAAAUGACAAUCUAUGAUCUCAGUGCUCUGCCCACUUCGCACAGUGCUCAGUUCUGGGUCACACACACAGGUGCAUCAUUUUGUAUUAACUGCCAUAAAAAGUGAAAUGCCCAACGCCAUGGUUUAGAAGUCUAGAACACGCUAAACCUGGGAGAAGAGGAUGUUUUAUUUUUAUGUAGCCUCCAUUUCACCUUCUCCCGAGGAACCUACAAGCAAGCAGCAUGUAUUCAUUUUGCUUUCAAACAUGCUAGACUCGAGGAACAGAACCGUCUGGAACUCCUGCAGUGACCACCUAAUCAUGUAUCUAUCUGAUGGUCUCCUGGAAGGAUGGCGCCAUACGCACAUAGUUGCUUAUGUCUUCUAUGCACAACAAACACAAGUUCAGCUCAUCCUGAGGAACACAGGACCGGUUUCACAAAACACAAGGGGGAAGAUGAGCAGAACCCAACCACAGGCUAAUCUGUCUGGAGAAUGACUUCCACUGGCGGGCCAGGCAGGCCAGGAACCAGAGACCAGCAUCCAGAAGCGAUGCCUGAAGAAUUCUAAGGCUCCACGGACAGUGUCCACUCGCCUUGGAGGAGCUGUUCCAGGGCAGGAGCAAGAUUCCGGAUGCUUCCAGUUCUGGAAGCCCAAGAGCCAGUGGUUUUGUAAACGCAGUUAUACUGUUCAAACAGAGCUUUCCUUCCUGA
Mus musculus (house mouse) is the source of this 785-nucleotide long non-coding RNA. RefSeq annotates it as predicted gene, 36816. NCBI's taxonomy places the organism in Eukaryota, Metazoa, Chordata, Mammalia, Rodentia, Muridae. The transcript is spliced from 4 exons. The record is from RefSeq and is a predicted model, not a curated record.